ACCCUCUGAACUUCGACAGGAUUUGCUUCUGGGUCACAGAACCUUGAAGCGGGUAAUGGAUGGCCUUGUGAUACUGAAGUAGCCAAGGGUUCAGCGCCUGCCUCCUUUGGAGCAGCAAAGGAGGAAGAAGGAAAAUACCUGGGAAGCUCAGAGAAUUCACUUAAGAUCAAAAAUGCUGGAGGUUGGAAACGUCCCAAUAAACUACUUCUGUCGAAGCUACAUCAUUGGAUUAUUUUUACCUCCACACUAAAGAUGCUUGGAGAUGAAGCCAAAUACAAGCAUGAGAGGAAGUUCUAGAGAUGAGAAGCAAAACUGGCAGAGGAGAAAGAUUCCUUCACCUGCUCCAUAAGAUGAAUCAAUAUGCUGCAGCACUGACUGGAGGAAUUGCUUUAUGUUUAUAAAUUGCAUAUGACUGGAACUCUGCAACACAGCCAUCUGCCUGUUUGACACCUGGUGUUAAUCCUUUGGAUAGUUC
This 475-nucleotide long non-coding RNA is filed under the name Coturnix japonica (Japanese quail). RNAcentral's name for it is "lncRNA (ENSCJPG00005018888.1)". Lineage: Eukaryota; Metazoa; Chordata; Aves; Galliformes; Phasianidae. The record is from RNAcentral.